UGAUAAACUGGAUGAGGAAUUAGAGUGGAGACCCAGGAUUUCGUCUGAAGAAAGAGAAGAAUGCAAGUAAAAUGUCGUCAAGGGUCGUGAAAAUGUGUUGCAUGGGUUCCUGUCCAAGAGGCCGGCCAAUUCUAUGAUUCCUGGACCAGUUUCUGGACAAUCUGUGGCAUUGUGGGAUCCCUGUUGCCUGAGUGAAGGAGACCUGUGUGGAGAGGAUGAAAUGUCAAAGACUGGUCCAUGAGGGCGCUGCAGAGGCAGAGCGUUGAUGGUGGGAGGAGGACAGUCCCGUCAGAAAGGAUUGUGGUCGAUGAUUGCCAUUUGAUGUCAUAACAAAGGAAUGUUUGAAAGUCAUCUGCAAUCAGAGGUUGCAAUCAGAGGUCACAUGACAGAAGUCACAUGACAAGGAUUUUAGUCGAUGAUCACCUUUGAUGCCACAACGAAGGAGUGUUGAAUGAGCUCUAUUGGCAAUCAGAGGUCACAUGACAAGGUGUUGGCGUCAGCUGGUGGGUGCCUGUCACCGAUGUCUGGUCCUUCCAAGAUGCAUGAUGUCACCAACAGCUUCCUUUAUCAGGUAUCCGCAUCAGCUGAUGGGUCCCUGUCACCAAUGUCUGGUCCUUCCAAGAUGCAUGAUGUCACCAACAUUUUCAUUCAUCAGUUGAUUGCCUUUGCUGAAGGCAGGAGUCAAUCAUACGGAUGUCCAGAGGAGUUGGCGAAGGACUUGAGCUCACUUUAAAUGGAAAAGAUGAGAACAAUUUCUCAUUGUUAAACCUAAAACUACAAUUUCAGUACAAAAACUUAGUUUUUGGAAAGUUCUUUGAAUACCUAUAAGCUGCACAACCUUUUUUUUAAAAUUACGCAAAGAUUUACUUCCUGGAAAUUAAAAAUAACCAAAUCUGAUGGAGAUAAACUAUUACUAAGAGCUGAUUUUGUUUCAGUCCAUUCACAACACAUGCAAAAGCCAUGCAUGAGUCUAAUAUGAUGGUAAAAUACACCACACGUGAUCUUUUAAGACGAAUUGUGUAAUUGGCUCUUAAGGUAGCAUGCACGCACCAAUAUCGUUGUAGCAACAUGUAUACACAAAAAGAUGGUGGCAUUUUCCUGAGCUGAACGAUGCCUUUCAUUACAAAGGUACAGUAAUUACAACAUAACUAGUCCAUAUACAUGUAGCAUCCCUCAGUAUCGGAUGUUGACAAACAAGUUCUCUCGGAUUUGCCGAGGGAAUUAGUUUGUCAACUUCCAAUGCCUUGGUAAGCUAAUAUGGAUGAUCAAUAUGAAAACCGUUAUUAUUUAAUGACUUGACACUUGUUCGCCACUUUUAAAAUUUGAUCAGGUCAUUUCAAGAAUAAAAUAAGUAAAAAGGGACUUUGUUGAUGUCCAUUGUUUUUAUUUGUCUGACUUUCGUCACGUCUUGCAUUCAAUUUGGGAAAAUCACCGCCUCCUGAUACGAUACUCUUUUGAUAUCUCUUGAAGGUUGAAUGUUGUGAAUCGUUCAAAAACACAAAUUGAAAAGUAUUUUCAAUUCCGUGAGAAGACCUGCAUUUUGAUUCCUGUGUACAUUUUACAUUAACAUGAAAAUGGCGACUGCAAUGUACUGCAUGCUCUUAAAUUAAAGGAAAAUACCCGCAGAUGCAACUUUCAAACCGAGACUAAGUAAAAGACGCUAAAUGGUUGGAAUUUAUGGAGCAUAUUUUGGAUUGUGAGUCAGAUUUAAAAAGAACUGAGCCUAUAGUCCAAGGAACUCAACUCUAAACUGGAAACUUAAAAAGAACUGUGCCUAUAGUCCAAGGAACUCAACUCUAAACUGGAAACUUAAAAAGAACUGUGCCUAUAGUCCAAGGAAAUCAACUCUAAACUGGAAUUAGAGCAACAAAUUUAUACCUUUUUACUUGGAUAUUUCACUGGAAAGUUCUAAGAAUGUGCUGCCCUGCCUGAUAGUUUGCUACUCAGAGUUGGAGGGUUUUAAUUGCGAGUAUUUCUUGGCUUACCUUUACGAUUUCUGAGGGUUUAACAUCGUCAAAAUGUGUUGAUGGCAAAGUUACUUGUAAACCGCUUGAGACAGGUCACGUGACUCGUGAACCAAUAAUAAGGGGGGAGAGAGGGAGACUACGAAGCGAAUAGAAGACAUUUUUCAGCUGUGCUGUCAUUGCUCAUGCAAACAUUAAAUGAGGCAAACGGCUGCAAGGAAGACC
Molecule: long non-coding RNA, 2189 nt
Organism: Acanthaster planci (crown-of-thorns starfish)
Lineage: Eukaryota; Metazoa; Echinodermata; Asteroidea; Valvatida; Acanthasteridae
Source: RefSeq, a predicted model, not a curated record